RNAcentral lists this long non-coding RNA (622 nucleotides) under Olea europaea (common olive). RNAcentral's name for it is "long non-coding RNA (OEUR_LNC007053)". Lineage: Eukaryota; Viridiplantae; Streptophyta; Magnoliopsida; Lamiales; Oleaceae. The record is from RNAcentral.
CAGCCACCACCAACCCACGAGCCAUCGCCAAACCAAUAGCCCCUCAGCUACCAUCCAACACCGACCCUCAGCCCCUUAGCUACCAGCCACCACUGAACCACACUGUUGAAGAAUAGCCACAACAAUGGUGGACACCACCGUCGAAAAUUAGCCACGGCAAAACGACAAUAACUUUGAUCAAAAUAACAAUGGAAAUUUUGAGAAAAACGACAGUAAUUUUGGCUAGAUUUGGUCAAAAUUUAGACCAUUUUCUGUGCGUAGGUGUAUAUGUGUGUGAAUUAGAGAACCAGAGCUACUCGAUCAAUGGUUCCGGCGGUGGCUCUAGAGGAACGAACGCUCAAAUCAAUCGUCCAGCUAUCAGACAACCAGCUCGACCUUUUUGCCGUCUCCUCUAGGUUUCUCUUUAUGGACGACCAAGUCAUCCUAGUCGGGCCAUCAACAAAGGGAGCACCAAAAUCAGCUCCACAGCAAUGCCUGAGCUUGAUCUUUGCUCUUCUUCAAAAAUUGGUUGAUGUUGUUGGUUUGGCGGUGUGGGUCGGUGGUGGCUAAUGGCUAAAAGGAGUUGUGGUGUUGGGUGGUGGCCGUGUGAUUUUCUGGUUUUGAUUGGGGAUGGUAUGGGGAU